RNAcentral lists this ribosomal RNA (252 nucleotides) under uncultured bacterium. RNAcentral describes it as "partial 16S ribosomal RNA". It matches the Rfam family "Bacterial small subunit ribosomal RNA", at positions 524 to 776 of the family's 1533-position model. The record is from RNAcentral.
UACGUAGGGUGCGAGCGUUGUCCGGAAUUAUUGGGCGUAAAGGGCUCGUAGGCGGUUUGUCGCGUCGGGAGUGAAAUCCACUGGCUUAACUGAUGGCUUGCUUUCGAUACGGGCAGACUGGAGGUAUGCAGGGGAGAACGGAAUUCCUGGUGUAGCGGUGAAAUGCGCAGAUAUCAGGAGGAACACCGGUGGCGAAGGCGGCGUCCUGGACCAACACUGACACUGAUGAGCGAAAGCCAGGGAGCAAACGGG